GAUGAACUCAUAUAUGUUUAUUGUUUGAAAUUGAUAAGGAUGGUUUGGCUUCUGGACGAUGAGUACGACACGAAACACCGGGCCUACAUGAUGCGCGAGAAGGAGAAGAAGCUUGAACCUCUGAAGAUUCGGUAUCACGGGGUCUCUGGUCCUGCCAUGCCUUACGAUGAUCGGUACACACCAUACAUCAAGCAGACAGGACUACUCCUGUGGAUUCAGUUGGUCAGCCGGUCCACGCCGAAUCUGAACGCUCCACUGGUGUCCGCUCUUGUUGAUCGGUGGAGGCCGGAGACGCACAGUUUCCAUCUUCGGACUGAGAUGACCGUGACGCUCGAAGAUGUCUCGUUGAUCACCGGUCUUGCCAUCGACAGGAGGCCUCUCUGUAUGAGCAUCGAUUCUGAUGGGUGGCGCGAGCAGGUGGUUGCUCUUAUCGGUAUGGCUCCUACCGAGGCUGAGGCUGAUGUAGAGGAGGGAGAACAGAAGAAGAAAAUGGAAAGGAAAGCAGCCGGAGCUGCUUUCACGGGGAUUCAAAAUAACUUUGUGACGUGCCCUCCGGAUGCCACUGAUGAUGUGAUCCAAACACAUGCUCGUGUGUAUAUGUGGUACGUUGUGUUGAGGACUUUGUUUCCUGACUCCACUGGCAAGAACACUCCAUGGAUGUGGCUGAAGGCGUUGACCGUCUUC
Molecule: ribosomal RNA, 684 nt
Filed under: Triticum aestivum (bread wheat)
Lineage: Eukaryota; Viridiplantae; Streptophyta; Magnoliopsida; Poales; Poaceae
Description: partial small subunit ribosomal RNA
Source: RNAcentral